This is a long non-coding RNA of Lytechinus pictus (painted urchin), 4080 nucleotides long. RefSeq lists it as uncharacterized. The transcript has 4 exons. The record is from RefSeq and is a predicted model, not a curated record. Lineage: Eukaryota; Metazoa; Echinodermata; Echinoidea; Temnopleuroida; Toxopneustidae.
GGGGGCGGCGACAGGCUUGCGCAUGCGCACUUACCGCCAACAUUUGAAAAGAAUACCGUUUGCGUUGCGUUGCAGUUUAUUGAGCUCGAUCGAGAAGUGGGACGAAGAAGGCCGUUAAUAAUUCAACUACUUAAAGAAUGCGGGUUAGAUGUGGACGACUUCGAAGACAUUUGCAGUAGGCUAAACAGAGAAAGAGAGGGAGACCCAAAACUACUUGUCCUGGCAUCACAUUUGAGGAGGAGAUGAAGUCGGUGAAUAUGACCUAGCCCGGGGGAGUUUCCAGAAGACGGCCCAGAACCACUGGCCGCCAGGAGUGGAGGUCCUUUGUUGUUGCUCUACAUGUCAGGAGGCAUCGGGCAGUAGCUCUGGUAGAAGCACCAUCUUGAUACCAUCAUUCAAACUCUCAUCAGCUGUAUCAUUAUAGGUGGACUAAAAGAACAAUAUUCAUGCAGAUAUAAUGAUGCCUUAAGUUGAAAUGGAAGGUGUCCUGAAUCUGCACCCAUUCAUCUGGUUUCGUAACUCCUUUCAUAGUGCUAUUGGAACCUGCUCCCUACCAGUAUAACAUCAAACAGAUUGGAAGAAUAAAGGCCAAUGGGAAGUGCCUUUUAUAUUUCUACUUGCCACAAAGCAGUCCAUGGUUUAGCGCUAUCUAAACUGGACUAUUGUAAUGCUCUUCGUGCUUGAAUUAGGGCGAUCUGGACUGACUGCAUAUAGUACAGAAUGCUGCAUCUAUUGUGCCAUUUGCCAUACGCCAACUUCGCUGGCUGCAAGUCAAGGAAAGGAUAUACAUGAACAUCAGUGUCCGUCUCCUGAUUUUCAAAGUCAUUGACAGAGAUCGAGAUUACAUGUUUUAUAAGGAAUCCCUUGUGCGUCAUUUUCAUUCUAGGCGCACUUGCCUUUUUAUUUUUGUGAUCAUUACGCACCUACGAAUUAGCUACUGGUGAUGCAACUUUCUCCACUACUGCUCCAAGGCCGUGGAAUUAGCUCCUUCCUCUCCUCCAGUUGUCAACAACCUUGGAUCAAUCCAAAUACAAUUUGAGAAGACCUACCAUCCUGAUCUUUGCUCUGUACUUACAACAAUACUGUCACUGUCUGGUAAUUUGAAUUUUUUUAAAUCUCAUGCGCUUUGUAUCUCGCAAAAUAACGUGUUGUGUAAAAGCGAACAUGCAUUGAGGUCAAGUUUAAGGGUAACCAUGGAUAUUGCCUUUUAUUACUUUUUAACAAAACUGAAAAAUUCAUCCAAAUUAGACAAGGGAUAAUAAAGUAAUGUAUGACAUUCUAACCUCUGCAUUAAUUUGGUGAAAGAGCUCUAAGCAUAUAUGCAAGUAGCAAGCUGAUGAUGUCAUACUGACGUACAUUGUACAUGUACACGUAUCCCCAACUUAUUAUUUUGUAUAUAAAAUUGUGCAUUUAAUUUUGUUUACCAAGAAUGAAACAAAUCGGAUUGUAAACUGUAUUGAUGUGACUUACCUGUAUUGAUUAUUGCUGGAAGUUCUUUUGCUACAUGGGAUUGGAAGACAUACUUAUUACACACAUGAAGUAAAUUAUUAUUUUAUCUGGUAACAUGAGAACAAUAAAAAUGUGGGCAUGAUAUCAUAAACUUACAUGUAUCUACUUGCAUGUGUUGAUGACCAAUAUUUUUGUAAUUAUUUUUUUUUUAUUUUAUCUGAUUUUGAUAAAAUUUUCACUAUUUUGCAUGGUAAAAAUUACUUUAUUUUAGAUUAUGUUGAGCCCGUAUCAUAUACAAGUACAACUUUAAAGAUAAAUUACCAGUUGUAGUAACAAUCUUAAAAUGAGUUCGAACAGAAUCCAAUAGAAUUACCAGCAAAAUAUAAAAGACAUGUGCCAUAAUUAAUUAUAGCUCGGGAAGAAAAUGUGUAAUUGCUGAGAAAUGAGCAAAAUAAGCAUGUAAUUCUAUCCAAUGUCAGGUAUUUUUCAAAUCAAUCAUAAUACACUGUCCUGUCCCACAUGUUCUUUUCUGUGUUAGUGAUCAUCAAAAUAAUUAAUUUUAAGUUCAAAAUUAGUGAUUUUACAAAAAUACAAGCUUACAUUAAUGUACCAGAUCUAGAGAUUAUGUACAAUAUUUUGACAAUUUCUCAUGAAAUAAUUGUUUGCUGCAACUGCUGUCUUUUUAAUACGUUUAAGUGAUAGUGUAAUACAACCACAAACUUUUCUUAAGAAUUAAUGUACAUGUAUGAUUCUUUCACCCAAAUUUACAUGCAUUGAUACUGUUGACUACUUGCCAAAAGUUCCUGCCAAAAGCCUUUUUUAACGAUGUACAUGCUUUUAUAGACGACCUGCCAAAACAUUGUAUUGUAUUAUAUUCAAGGUCCAACCAAAAAGAGAUGAAUAAAAUGUUUGAAGGAAAUUGAAAUUAACUUUAAAAAUGAUAGAGCUCUGUCAAUGCAGUAUUAUUACAGGGUUCCCACAGUCAUGGAAAAUCCUGGAAGAAAAUUGGUCAUGGAAAGUCAGGGAUAUGUGAAAAGUCAUGGAAUUGCAUUUACCUCUUGGCUAUGACAGCUUUCUAGUUUUUUAUGUCUCACAACUCUCAUACUCUGUGAUUGUACUCUACUAUUAUAAUUGGUGUUCAUGAUCAUAACAUGUCUGAUUUUGUAAACUGUGCCAGAAAGGAAUUAAGUCAUGGAAAGCAGCAAUUUAGUCAUGGAGAGGUCAUGGAAUUCUGUUUUCAAAUUUCUGUGGGAACCAUGAAUAGGUUUGUGCACUUGACACAGUGUGCACUACAGAUGAACUUUGUAAUGCCAUGAUAUAAACCAGUACAAUAUCUUAAAGGAAAAUAAAACCCAAAAUAUAAUACCACAUGAUACCAUUGAUAAAUACAGGACAAUGAAAAUGAAUCCACUCAUAUACCCCCAAUCCGAUGUCCCAGUAUGGAGUACCACCUUUUCAAAGUUGGCAUCUUCUGGUACAAAGUCUAUGGAUGGGGAUUAUUCCGUCAGCGACGAACUACAUCUCUAAACGUUUGGGCAUUAUAUAUUCUAUUUCAUCGAUAAUAAAUCAAAUGUACAGAUAAAACUCAUAAAAUAUUAAUUAAAAUUUGUUUAAUAUUAUAUGAUAGGUUCAAAUUACGACUUGAUGAGUUUUAAUGAUAAAAAUUACACCCUAAUCUACGAUUUACAAAUUGGCAGCGGAAAUUGGGGUGUAAAUCUUAUCAUUAAAACUCAUCAAAUUGUAUUUUGAACCUACCAUAUAUUAAACAAAUUUUAACUAAUAUUUUUAUGAGUUUUAUCUGUACAUUUGAUUUGUUAUUGAUAAAAUAGAAUAUAUAAUGCCUAAACGUUUAGAGAUGUAGUUCGUCGCUGAUGUAAUAAUUUCCUAACUAACCCCGCGAAAAUGGCGACCUCCAUCCAGAAACUUCGAACCAUACUGUAAGAGGCCAACUUUGAAAAGGUGGUACUCCGUAAUUGGAUUAGGGUAUGAGUGGAUUCAUGUUGAUUGUCCUGUAUUUAUCAAUAAUAUCAUGUGGUUUUAUGUUUUGGGUGUUAUUUUCCUUUAAUUCAGAUAUUACAUGCCAGGGUAUUGUCCUAGUUUUCAUUUUCUCCAAAUACAUAUUAUCAUCUCUCGUCUAUUUCUACUUGCCCUUCAGCCUUGAAGUAAACUUGGGGUAAUUAUGCAUUUUGUUAUACGCAAUUUUGAGUACAGUGCACUUUGCCGCAGCUACUUAUAUGAUAUUACCUAUUGUAGACACAUCCUUAUGUUUUGUUCAUUUUCUUAAAAACGAUUAAGAGUUUAAUCAUUUUUGUCUUUAAGCAUAAAACAAAGAGUAAAUCAGUCCAUUCUGUAUGUGUGACCUGCAAAAAAACUACAAUGGUCGUUAAUUUGGUUUGCUGAAAAGCCAGAUAACCUUUGAGGUAACUUUUUAAAGUAUUUAGAAGAAAUGUAUCUUUUUAAAAAGUAUUUAUAUGCACUGUAACUAAUUUCUUUGAUAGUUACUAUUAUGUUACACUGUUUGUACAGUAAAGCAGCUGUUACACAAUUUUUGUCAAUAGCAAAUCUAAACCAGUAUUGUAAAUUGAUGACUCUAUGAGCUAAAUACCAGUACUUUCUAUAUCACUUGUAAAA